UAGCAAUACCAACCGGCGAACGGGUGCGUAACACGUGAGCAACAUUCCGAUUUCUGGGGGAUAGCCGGCCCAACGGCCGGGUAAUACCGCAUACGCUCGUUGAGAGGAGUCUCUCGACGAGGAAACCUCCGGGGGAAAUCGAGUGGCUCGCGGCCUAUCAGCUAGUUGGUGAGGUAACGGCUCACCAAGGCUAUGACGGGUAGCUGGUCUGAGAGGAUGGCCAGCCACAUUGGGACUGAGAAACGGCCCAGACUCCUACGGGAGGCAGCAGUGGGGAAUCUUGCGCAAUGGUCGAAAGACUGACGCAGCGACGCCGCGUGCGGGAGGAAGCUCUUCGGGGUGUAAACCGCUGUUGCCCGGAACGAAACUCCAGAUUCGUCUGGAUUGACGGUACCGGGUGAGGAAGCGCCGGCUAACUCUGUGCCAGCAGCCGCGGUAAUACAGAGGGCGCGAGCGUUGUCCGGAAUCACUGGGCGUAAAGGGCGCGUAGGUGGCCACUAUAAGGACGCGGUGAAAGUUCGGGGCUCAACCCCGAAUCUGCCGCGUCGACUGUAGGGCUCGGGCACUGUAGAGGCAGAUGGAAUUCCGGGUGUAGCGGUGGAAUGCGUAGAGAAGAACACCAGUGGCGAAGCGGUCUGCUGGGCAGUGGGANCGCNAGCUCCUUAUAGCCGACACUGANGCGCGACNGCGNGNGGAGCAAACAGGA
This 706-nucleotide ribosomal RNA is filed under the name uncultured bacterium. Its description in RNAcentral is "bacterial SSU rRNA". It matches the Rfam family "Bacterial small subunit ribosomal RNA", at positions 83 to 777 of the family's 1533-position model. The record is from RNAcentral.